This 303-nucleotide ribosomal RNA is filed under the name Triticum aestivum (bread wheat). RNAcentral describes it as "partial small subunit ribosomal RNA". Lineage: Eukaryota; Viridiplantae; Streptophyta; Magnoliopsida; Poales; Poaceae. The record is from RNAcentral.
AUGUUAACAUCAUGGUUAUCUACAGAUGUAUGGGUACGCUCCGUUUAUGGUCGUCUCUAUAACGUGUGGAGUAUCGAGACCUGUUUACGGAGGUGUGUACACGAUUGGAGGCCACGACGAGGGAUACUUUUAACUGACAUGGAUGACCGCAUGAUCUUCGGAUUGGUCUUCCUACGCUUUAGGCGUUAUACAGACUCUUUGAUUAAGUGUAUUUCGCCUUUUUCUGUUGUUGUUUUUUUGGAACGUGGACUUGGUUAUGGCUAUGUGCAUCUCAAUUAUGCAGAGGCCGGGUGUAAUGCUUAA